Molecule: ribosomal RNA, 622 nt
Filed under: uncultured fungus
Lineage: Eukaryota; Fungi
Description: eukaryotic LSU rRNA
Rfam family: 5.8S ribosomal RNA (bases 246-398)
Source: RNAcentral
AAGUCGUAACAAGGUUUCCGUAGGUGAACCUGCGGAAGGAUCAUUACCGAGUUAGGGUCGCCCCGCGCGCCCGACCUCCAACCCUUUGUCUACCUGACCUUAUGUUGCUUCGGCAGGCCCGCCGCCCCUCUCGUGGGGGUGGCCGCCGGGGGUCCUUCGUGACCUCGGGCCCGCGCCUGUCGAUGGCCCAAUAAACUCUUGCUAUUAAACGUGUCGUCUGAGUAAAACAAACAAAAUUAAAACAAAACUUUCAACAACGGAUCUCUUGGUUCUGGCAUCGAUGAAGAACGCAGCGAAAUGCGAUAAGUAAUGCGAAUUGCAGAAUCCGUGAGUCAUCGAAUCUUUGAACGCAUAUUGCGCCCUCUGGUAUUCCGGAGGGCAUGCCUGUUCGAGCGUCAUUAUCACCCCUCAAGCCCGGCUUGUUUGUUGGACCCGGCGGGAGCUUCGCGCCCCCGCCCGUCUCAAAGAUAAUGACGGCGUCUGUGAGGACUCCUGUACACUGAGCUUUCGGGCACGUACUAGGCUAGAAGUCCAGACCCGGUCUUUUGUCGUGCGUCCGCGCCGACACCCCCCUUUUUAUCAAGUUGACCUCGGAUCAGGUAGGAAUACCCGCUGAACUUAA